This 125-nucleotide non-coding RNA is filed under the name Amphidinium massartii. The record is from RNAcentral. Lineage: Eukaryota; Dinophyceae; Amphidiniales; Amphidiniaceae.
GGAAGGUCGGAGAAGGGAGCUUUGGCAAGGCCUUGCUCGUGGAGGCAGUUGAUGGAACGCGCUUGAUCAGCAAGCUGGUUGAUGUCAGCAAGGCGAGCGCGAAGGAGUUGCAAGAUGCCAUCAAG